UACGUAGGUGGCAAGCGUUGUCCGGAUUUACUGGGCGUAAAGAGCGCGCAGGCGGUCGUUCAAGUCGCGUGUGAAAGCCCCCGGCUCAACUGGGGAGGGUCACGCGAUACUGAUCGACUCGAAGGCAGGAGAGGGUAGUGGAAUUCCCGGUGUAGUGGUGAAAUGCGUAGAUAUCGAGAGGAACACCAGUGGCGAAGGCGAGUCCCUGGACAACACCUGACACUGAGGCACGAAAGCCAGGGGAGCAAACGGG
Molecule: ribosomal RNA, 253 nt
Filed under: uncultured bacterium
Lineage: Bacteria
Description: partial 16S ribosomal RNA
Rfam family: Bacterial small subunit ribosomal RNA
Source: RNAcentral